AACGAACGCUGGCGGCAUGCCUAACACAUGCAAGUCGAACGAGACCUUCGGGUCUAGUGGCGCACGGGUGUGUAACGCGUGGGAACCUGCCCUUAGGUUCGGAAUAACUCCCCGAAAGGGGUGCUAAUACCGGACAAUGUCUUCGGACCAAAGAUUUAUCGCCUUUGGAUGGGCCCGCGUUGGAUUAGCUAGUUGGUAGGGUAAAAGCCUACCAAGGCGACGAUCCAUAGCUGGUCUGAGAGGAUGAUCAGCCACACUGGGACUGAGACACGGCCCAGACUCCCACGGGAGGCAGCAGUGGGGGAUAUUGGACAGUGGGCGAAAGCCUGAUCCAGCAAUGCCGCGUGAGUGAUGAAGGCCUUAGGGUUGUAAAGCUCUUUUACCCGGGAUGAUAAUGACAGUACCGGGAGAAUAAGCUCCGGCUAACUCCGUG
RNAcentral lists this ribosomal RNA (433 nucleotides) under uncultured bacterium. RNAcentral's name for it is "partial 16S ribosomal RNA". It matches the Rfam family "Bacterial small subunit ribosomal RNA", at positions 29 to 507 of the family's 1533-position model. The record is from RNAcentral.